Small nucleolar RNA from Papio anubis (olive baboon), 76 nucleotides. Ensembl annotates it as small nucleolar RNA, C/D box 114-17. Its record names the gene SNORD114-17. NCBI's taxonomy places the organism in Eukaryota, Metazoa, Chordata, Mammalia, Primates, Cercopithecidae. The record is from Ensembl.
UGGACCAAUGAUGACAAAUGGUGGCAUUGGAGUUAUGGACGAUGAAUUACCAUGUGUCUGAAACUCUGAGGUCCAA